GGGUUGUGAGGUUAAGCGACUAAGCGUACACGGUGGAUGCCCUGGCAGUCAGAGGCGAUGAAGGGCGUGCUAAUCUGCGAUAAGCGCCGGUAAGGUGAUAUGAACCGUUAUAACCGGCGAUACCCGAAUGGGGAAACCCAGUGUGAUUCGUCACACUAUCAUUAACUGAAUCCAUAGGUUAAUGAGGCGAACCGGGGGAACUGAAACAUCUAAGUACCCCGAGGAAAAGAAAUCAACCGAGAUUCCCCCAGUAGCGGCGAGCGAACGGGGAGGAGCCCAGAGCCUGAAUCAGCAUGUGUGUUAGUGGAAGCGUCUGGAAAGGCGCGCGAUACAGGGUGACAGCCCCGUACACAAAAGCGUAUGUGCUGUGAGCUCGAUGAGUAGGGCGGGACACGUGGUAUCCUGUCUGAAUAUGGGGGGACCAUCCUCCAAGGCUAAAUACUCCUGACUGACCGAUAGUGAACCAGUACCGUGAGGGAAAGGCGAAAAGAACCCCGGCGAGGGGAGUGAAAAAGAACCUGAAACCGUGUACGUACAAGCAGUGGGAGCACC
This 552-nucleotide ribosomal RNA is filed under the name Salmonella enterica. RNAcentral describes it as "partial 23S ribosomal RNA". It matches the Rfam family "Bacterial large subunit ribosomal RNA", at positions 1 to 583 of the family's 2925-position model. Lineage: Bacteria; Pseudomonadati; Pseudomonadota; Gammaproteobacteria; Enterobacterales; Enterobacteriaceae. The record is from RNAcentral.